Long non-coding RNA from Alligator sinensis (Chinese alligator), 1176 nucleotides. RefSeq lists it as uncharacterized. Lineage: Eukaryota; Metazoa; Chordata; Crocodylia; Alligatoridae. The record is from RefSeq and is a predicted model, not a curated record. The transcript is spliced from 2 exons.
UUGGUUCUGGCCCCGUCCCCUGCCAGAGCACCUUGUUUCUGCCCUGAGGCAAGAACGGUGUCCCUGGACUGUACCAUUCUCUGAUUCCGGGUUGGCGGCGUGGGAGGGAGGGCGUGCAUCAGCUUAUUCCCCAGCCUCGCUUCCGCUUUUUGUGGGACUGACAAUUUCUCGCACGUUAGUUAUGCCUUAGUAGUGUUGCCCGAUUCUUCCUCCCUCCCCCCCUUCACACAUGGUACAAGCCCCAGGUGCCCUGCUCAGGUGUGGCCGGUGGGACAAACCACGAGCGCAGACAGAGAGGGCACAUUAGCAUUAUAGGAAGGCGACGCAGGCGGAGCAGCCUCCACGGGAGAUUGAAGUGUCUGCACCGCCGCCGCCGCCGGGGCCAUUGGGAAGCGGAGGAGGCGGAGCCCUCGUCGCUCCGGGCCUGGCCACGCCUUGGUUGAGAAACGCUGGACUAGAUGGCCUCCUAAGGUCCCUUCCAACUCUCAUUGUCUAUGAUUCUGCAACAUGCCUCUGUAGUGUAACGCAAAUGCUUUAUUCCCCCACUCCCUUCCCCCACUUAAAUCCAACCUUUGUUUGCUAAAACAGGCUGCUCCUGGGACCUCCAUGAGCAUGAUCUAGCAGUUUAAUCACAAAUGUGCCUUUCUGGAGCUGGUAAAUGAGAUAUGACACCCUUAAAAGAAGUCUGGGGAAGCAAAAAAACCAAAAACAACCCGUGGCUCCUAAUUUCAUGCAUGUCUAAAGGGUGGGCAGUACUUAAAUGACAACCUCAAGGGACUUCUUUGGACUUUAAAGCACAUUUUUAAAAUACUUACAGCAUGGCCUUGUGAGGCAUGGAGUUUAACAAGCUUACAGCCAAGCUGGUUUGCCUCUGAGACCCUUCCACUCAGGCUGGGGCAACAGACCUCAUGAGGUACCAGCCAGGGCACUUUUGUGGCUGGUUGGGAAAGGGUAAAAAAAUGCUAAGGCUGUCUGUGGGCUCCUGGUGCCCUAGGAUCGGAUCAGAGCAGAGCCUGGCUGCAAGGGCUUUUGGAAGGUCACAUUGCCCCAGCAUUGCCAGGUCUUAAAUAUGAAAUUAUUGUAUUGGAAGCUCAAAAUUAGUCACAUUUGUUGGAAAAAAAACCCCUGUCACACUGAAAAAUAUGCAGAGCGGCAUUUAAACAAGCAUAAAAACAA